ACCCUUUUAGCUCAAUGGUUGAGCGUUGGUUUUGAGAGCCACAGGUCGGUGGUUCGAUCCCCGUGCGGGAC
This 71-nucleotide transfer RNA is filed under the name Phytophthora infestans T30-4. It matches the Rfam family "tRNA". Rfam says of the family: Transfer RNA (tRNA) molecules are approximately 80 nucleotides in length. Their secondary structure includes four short double-helical elements and three loops (D, anti-codon, and T loops). The record is from Rfam by way of RNAcentral. Lineage: Eukaryota; Oomycota; Peronosporomycetes; Peronosporales; Peronosporaceae.